RNAcentral lists this ribosomal RNA (419 nucleotides) under uncultured bacterium. Its description in RNAcentral is "bacterial SSU rRNA". It matches the Rfam family "Bacterial small subunit ribosomal RNA", at positions 355 to 774 of the family's 1533-position model. The record is from RNAcentral.
UGAGGAAUAUUGCACAAUGGGCGCAAGCCUGAUGCAGCGACGCCGCGUGUGGGAUGAAGGGGCUACGCCUCGUAAACCACUGUAGCCCGGGACGAAAAACGCCUUAGAGGCGUUAGACGGUACCGGGAAAGUAAGGGUCGGCUAACUACGUGCCAGCAGCCGCGGUAAUACGUAGGACCCAAGCGUUGUCCGGAUUUACUGGGUGUAAAGGGUGCGCAGGCGGACCGAUAAGUCGGGGGUUAAAUCCAUGUGCUUAACACAUGCACGGCUUCCGAUACUGUCGGUCUAGAGUCUCGAAGAGGAAGGUGGAAUUUCCGGUGUAACGGUGGAAUGUGUAGAUAUCGGAAAGAACACCAGUGGCGAAGGCAGCCUUCUGGUCGAGAACUGACGCUCAUGCACGAAAGCGUGGGGAGCAAACA